UUAGUACGGCGAGUGAAGCGGUAAAAGCUCAAAUUUGAAAUCUGGUACUUUCAGUGCCCGAGUUGUAAUUUGUAGAAUUUGUCUUUGAUUAGGUCCUUGUCUAUGUUCCUUGGAACAGGACGUCAUAGAGGGUGAGAAUCCCGUUUGGCGAGGAUACCUUUUCUCUGUAAGACUUUUUCGAAGAGUCGAGUUGUUUGGGAAUGCAGCUCAAAGUGGGUGGUAAAUUCCAUCUAAAGCUAAAUAUUGGCGAGAGACCGAUAGCGAACAAGUACAGUGAUGGAAAGAUGAAAAGAACUUUGAAAAGAGAGUGAAAAAGUACGUGAAAUUGUUGAAAGGGAAGGGCAUUUGAUCAGACAUGGUGUUUUUUGCAUGCACUCGCCUCUCGUGGGCUUGGGCCUCUCAAAAAUUUCACUGGGCCAACAUCAAUUCUGGCAGUAGGAUAAAUCAUUAAGAAUGUAGCUACCUCGGUAGUGUUAUAGCUUAUUGGAAUACUGCUAGCUGGGAUUGAGGACUGCGCUUCGGCAAGGAUGUUGGCAUAAUGGUUAAAUGCCGCCCGUCUUGA
This 562-nucleotide ribosomal RNA is filed under the name Hanseniaspora opuntiae. RNAcentral's name for it is "partial large subunit ribosomal RNA". It matches the Rfam family "Eukaryotic large subunit ribosomal RNA", at positions 80 to 657 of the family's 3401-position model. The record is from RNAcentral. Lineage: Eukaryota; Fungi; Ascomycota; Saccharomycetes; Saccharomycodales; Saccharomycodaceae.